Molecule: ribosomal RNA, 690 nt
Filed under: uncultured bacterium
Lineage: Bacteria
Description: bacterial SSU rRNA
Rfam family: Bacterial small subunit ribosomal RNA
Source: RNAcentral
AGAGUUUGAUCCUGGCUCAGAACGAACGCUGGCGGCAUGCCUAACACAUGCAAGUCGAACGAAGGCUUCGGCCUUAGUGGCGCACGGGUGCGUAACGCGUGGGAAUCUGCCCUUAGGUUCGGAAUAACAGCUGGAAACGGCUGCUAAUACCGGAUGAUAUCGCGAGAUCAAAGAUUUAUCGCCUGAGGAUGAGCCCGCGUUGGAUUAGGUAGUUGGUGGGGUAAAGGCCUACCAAGCCGACGAUCCAUAGCUGGUCUGAGAGGAUGAUCAGCCACACUGGGACUGAGACACGGCCCAGACUCCUACGGGAGGCAGCAGUGGGGAAUAUUGGACAAUGGGCGAAAGCCUGAUCCAGCAAUGCCGCGUGAGUGAUGAAGGCCCUAGGGUUGUAAAGCUCUUUUACCCGGGAAGAUAAUGACUGUACCGGGAGAAUAAGCCCCGGCUAACUCCGUGCCAGCAGCCGCGGUAAUACGGAGGGGGCUAGCGUUGUUCGGAAUUACUGGGCGUAAAGCGCACGUAGGCGGCUUUGUAAGUCAGAGGUGAAAGCCUGGAGCUCAACUCCAGAACUGCCUUUGAGACUGCAUCGCUUGAAUCCAGGAGAGGUCAGUGGAAUUCCGAGUGUAGAGGUGAAAUUCGUAGAUAUUCGGAAGAACACCAGUGGCGAAGGCGGCUGACUGGACUGGUAUUGAC